RNAcentral lists this ribosomal RNA (832 nucleotides) under insect metagenome. RNAcentral describes it as "bacterial SSU rRNA". It matches the Rfam family "Bacterial small subunit ribosomal RNA", at positions 12 to 836 of the family's 1533-position model. The record is from RNAcentral.
CCACAGAUCAUGGCUCAGAUUGAACGCUGGCGGCAGGCUUAACACAUGCAAGUCGAACGGUAACAUGAGUGCUUGCACUUGAUGACGAGUGGCGGACGGGUGAGUAAAGUAUGGGGAUCUGCCGAAUGGAGGGGGACAACAGUUGGAAACGACUGCUAAUACCGCAUAAAGUUGAGAGACCAAAGCAUGGGACCUUCGGGCCAUGCGCCAUUUGAUGAACCCAUAUGGGAUUAGCUAGUUGGUAGGGUAAAGGCUUACCAAGGCGACGAUCUCUAGCUGGUCUGAGAGGAUGACCAGCCACACUGGAACUGAGACACGGUCCAGACUCCUACGGGAGGCAGCAGUGGGGAAUAUUGCACAAUGGGGGAAACCCUGAUGCAGCCAUGCCGCGUGUAUGAAGAAGGCCUUCGGGUUGUAAAGUACUUUCGGUAAUGAGGAAGGUGGUGUAUCUAAUAGGUGCAUCAAUUGACGUUAAUUACAGAAGAAGCACCGGCUAACUCCGUGCCAGCAGCCGCGGUAAUACGGAGGGUGCGAGCGUUAAUCGGAAUGACUGGGCGUAAAGGGCAUGUAGGCGGAUAAUUAAGUUAGGUGUGAAAGCCCUGGGCUCAACCUAGGAAUUGCACUUAAAACUGGUUAACUAGAGUAUUGUAGAGGAAGGUAGAAUUCCANGUGUAGCGGUGAAAUGCNUAGANAUNNGNAGGAANACCGGUGGCGAAGGCGGCCUUCUGGACAGAUACUGNCGCUGAGAUGCGAAAGCGUGGGGAGCAAACAGGAUUAGAUACCCUGGUAGUCCACGCUGUAAACGAUGUCGGGUGGUGGAGGUCGCUAGAUG